CCCGAUGAACCUGAAUAUCCGUUAUGGAAAAUUCAUCACUAAUACUAUGAUAUUUAUCAUAUUAUAGAAAUAGUGUGCAAUUUUUCCAUAUAAGGACAUUGUAAUCUGUUAAUGUAAUAAAUAUUUAUCAUAAGAUCUUUUACUUAAGUUUAUUCAAAUUAGUUAUUUUCGAAUUUCUAACAUAGAAUAAAUGUAUUGGAUUUGAUAAAUCAUUGACAGAUUUAAUUAUAUAUAGUGCUUAAAUUUUUCGAAAUUUUACAAUGGUGAGUAAAUCUAUUGAUUUAUUUAUAUUGUAUGCGCUUAUAUGAUUAACAAUGCGAUAGAUUCAGGAUACCUUCGGGACCCGUCUUGAAACACGGACCAAGGAGUCUAACAUAUGUGCAAGUCAUUGGGUAUUUUUAAUAAAACCCAAUGGCAUAAUUAACUUAACUGUUUUAAAUGGGAUUAGUUUAUAUUUUAUUAUGAAAUAUAAAUUCAAUCCCGGGGCGUUCUAUACAGUUAUGCAUAAUGAUAUUUAUAUUAUUUAUGCCUCUAACUAGAGC
Molecule: ribosomal RNA, 542 nt
Filed under: Caliprobola speciosa
Lineage: Eukaryota; Metazoa; Arthropoda; Insecta; Diptera; Syrphidae
Description: eukaryotic LSU rRNA
Source: RNAcentral